CUACGGAGGAUGCAAGCGUUAUCCGGAUUUAUUGGGUUUAAAGGGUGCGCAGGCGGGAGAUUAAGUCGGCGGGGGAAUUUUUCAGGUCCAAUGUAAAAAUGCCUUUGAAACUGGGUUUCUUUGGUGGAGGUGAAGUAGGCGGGAUUUGUGGUGUAGCGGGGAAAUGCAUAGAUAUCACGAGGAACUCCGAUUGCGCAGGCAGCUUACUAAACUACUACUGACGCUCAGGCACGAAGGCGUGGGGAUCAAACAGGAUUAGAUACCCUGGUAGUCCACGCAGUAAACGAUGAUUACUAGCUGUUUGCGAUACAAUGUAAGCGGCUGAGCGAAAGCGUUAAGUAAUCCACCUGGGGAGUACGUUCGCAAGAAUGAAACUCAAAUGAAUUGGCGGGG
This 393-nucleotide ribosomal RNA is filed under the name uncultured bacterium. RNAcentral describes it as "partial 16S ribosomal RNA". It matches the Rfam family "Bacterial small subunit ribosomal RNA", at positions 523 to 918 of the family's 1533-position model. The record is from RNAcentral.